AGAGUUUGAUCCUGGCUCAGGAUGAACGCUAGCGGCAGGCCUAACACAUGCAAGUCGAGGGGUAACGAUGAUUUAGCUUGCUAAAUCAGGCGACGACCGGCGCACGGGUGAGUAACGCGUAUGAAACCCCUGUACUGGGGGAUAGCCCGGAGAAAUCCGGAUUAAUACCCCAUAACAUCUAGAUGCUGCAUGGUAUUUAGAUUAAAACUCCGGUGGUACAGGAUGGUCAUGCGUGACAUUAGCUAGUUGGUAGGGUAACGGCUUACCAAGGCGACGAUGUCUAGGGGUUCUGAGAGGAUUAUCCCCCACACUGGUACUGAGACACGGACCAGACUCCUACGGGAGGCAGCAGUGAGGAAUAUUGGUCAAUGGGCGAAAGCCUGAACCAGCCAUGCCGCGUGCAGGGAGACUGCCCUAUGGGUUGUAAACUGCUUUUGUACGGGAAUAAUGAUAGCUACGUGUAGUUGUUUGAAUGUACCGUAAGAAUAAGCAUCGGCUAACUCCGUGCCAGCAGCCGCGGUAAUACGGAGGAUGCAAGCGUUAUCCGGAUUUAUUGGGUUUAAAGGGUACGUAGGCGAAGUUUAAGUCAGUGGUGAAAGUCUGCAGCUUAACUGUAGAAUUGCCAUUGAUACUGAAUUUCUUGAGUGCGGUUGAGGUAGGCGGAAUGUGUAAUGUAGCGGUGAAAUGCUUAGAUAUUACACAGAACACCGAUUGCGUAGGCAGCUUACUAAGCCGUAACUGACGCUGAGGUACGAAAGCGUGGGGAGCGAACAGGAUUAGAUACCCUGGUAGUCCACGCCGUAAACGAUGAUCACUCGCUGUUGGCGACACAUAGUCAGCGGCCAAGCGAAAGCAUUAAGUGAUCCACCUGGGGAGUACGCCGGCAACGGUGAAACUCAAAGGAAUUGACGGGGGCCCGCACAAGCGGUGGAACAUGUGGUUUAAUUCGAUGAUACGCGAGGAACCUUACCUGGGCUUAAAUGUAGAGUGCAUGUUCUGGAAACAGGACUUUCCUUCGGGACUCUUUACAAGGUGCUGCAUGGUUGUCGUCAGCUCGUGCCGUGAGGUGUCGGGUUAAGUCCCAUAACGAGCGCAACCCUUAUCGUUAGUUGCCAUCAGGUCAAGCUGGGGACUCUAACGAAACUGCCGGUGUAAACCGAGAGGAAGGUGGGGAUGACGUCAAAUCAGCACGGCCCUUAUGUCCAGGGCUACACACGUGUUACAAUGGUCGGUACAAAGGGCAGCUACUUGGCAACAAGAUGCAAAUCCCUAAAACCGGUCUCAGUUCGGAUUGAAGUCUGCAACUCGACUUCAUGAAGCUGGAAUCGCUAGUAAUCGCGCAUCAGCCAUGGCGCGGUGAAUACGUACCCGGGCCUUGUACACACCGCCCGUCAAGCCAUGGAAGCUGGGGGUACCUGAAGUCUGUAACCGCAAGGAGCGGCCU
Molecule: ribosomal RNA, 1444 nt
Filed under: metagenome
Description: bacterial SSU rRNA
Rfam family: Bacterial small subunit ribosomal RNA
Source: RNAcentral